CCCCCAGCCCAAAAUCGCGGGCGAGCACAUCCAGAUCGUCCAUCCGAAUAAAUCAAACAGCGGCAGAUCUAAUCUGAAAAUCGACCCCAGCCAGCAACAAAAUUUGGCUGGAUCCGGAAAAAAUCGAGCGAAAUCGGAUGUGCGAAAUGCUUCAAUCAGAUGGACUGCUCCUUCAUUAUGAGUGGAUGCUCAUCCGAGUGAUGAUCGCGGUCACAAUUAAGCCUUCGACACAGGAAAAUCUAAACCUAUAUGCACAGAAAAUGGUGUAUGUAUAGGCAGAAAUGUGGUGAUUAGUGGCAAUUCACUGUUGUUACUUGGGAAAUGG
Molecule: long non-coding RNA, 325 nt
Filed under: Salvia miltiorrhiza (redroot sage)
Lineage: Eukaryota; Viridiplantae; Streptophyta; Magnoliopsida; Lamiales; Lamiaceae
Description: long non-coding RNA (SMIL_LNC011014)
Source: RNAcentral